CCCUUAGAUGUUCUGGGCCGCACGCGCGCUACACUGACGAAUGCAACGAGCUUAUAACCUUGGCCGAAAGGUCUGGGUAAUCUCCAAAUUUCGUCGUGAUGGGGAUAGAUUAUUGCAAUUAUUAAUCUUCAACGAGGAAUGCCUAGUAAGCGCAAGUCAUCAGCUUGCGUUGAUUACGUCCCUGCCCUUUAUACACACCGCCCGUCGCUCCUACCGAUUGAAUGGUCCGGUGAAGCGUUCGGACCGUGGCCUUUGGACGGUUCGCCGUCUGUUGGCUGCGGGAAGUUCGUUAAACCUUAUCAUUUAGAGGAAGGAGAAGUCGUANCA
RNAcentral lists this ribosomal RNA (327 nucleotides) under uncultured eukaryote. RNAcentral's name for it is "partial 18S ribosomal RNA". It matches the Rfam family "Eukaryotic small subunit ribosomal RNA", at positions 1470 to 1796 of the family's 1831-position model. The record is from RNAcentral.